Non-coding RNA from Chiloscyllium plagiosum (whitespotted bambooshark), 426 nucleotides. NCBI's taxonomy places the organism in Eukaryota, Metazoa, Chordata, Chondrichthyes, Orectolobiformes, Hemiscylliidae. The record is from the annotation of a RefSeq genome assembly.
AUGGUUUUCACAAAGGGCGAAGGUGUGGCGGCGUGCAGAGAGGGUGUCCAGUCGGAGAUCGUUUUAACUCAACCAGAGACAGAGAGUGGUAAUCCCGGAGCCACCCUGAGACUGACCUGUAAAACCAGCGGCUUCUAUCUUACCAGUUACUGGAUGCACUGGGUCCGACAGGUUCCCGGACAGGGGCUGGAGUGGCUGCUUAAUUACAAAAGUUCAUCCAACAGUAACUAUGCCCCAGCGAUUAAGAAUCGAUUUACUGCGUCCAAAGACCAUUCAAACAACAUCUUCGCGUUGGAGAUGAAGAGCCUGAAGAUCGAAGACACCGCCAUCUAUUACUGUACAACAUACCACAGCGUGAGGAACCAGGGCUGGACCCUUUCAACCAACAGUUCAAUGGGACAUUUUGCCAAUUUCAUCGUUAACUGA